UACGGAGGGUGCAAGCGUUAUUCGGAUUUAUUGGGCGUAAAGCGCAUGUAGGCGGUUUCGUAAGUUUGGUGUGAAAGCCCUGGACUCAAUCCAGGAAGUGCAUUGAAUACUGCGAGACUAGAGUAUCGGAGAGGAAGGUGGAAUUCCAGGUGUAGAGGUGAAAUUCGUAGAUAUCUGGAGGAACAACAGUGGCGAAGGCGACUUUCUGGACGGUAACUGACGCUGAGAUGCGAAAGUGUGGGGAGCAAACAGG
RNAcentral lists this ribosomal RNA (253 nucleotides) under uncultured bacterium. RNAcentral describes it as "partial 16S ribosomal RNA". It matches the Rfam family "Bacterial small subunit ribosomal RNA", at positions 524 to 776 of the family's 1533-position model. The record is from RNAcentral.